This 503-nucleotide ribosomal RNA is filed under the name uncultured bacterium. RNAcentral's name for it is "partial 16S ribosomal RNA". It matches the Rfam family "Bacterial small subunit ribosomal RNA", at positions 28 to 523 of the family's 1533-position model. The record is from RNAcentral.
GAUGAACGCCAGCGGCAGGCCUAACACAUGCAAGUCGAGGGGUAGCAGGAUUAAGCUUGCUUAAUUGCUGACGACCGGCGCACGGGUGCGUAACGCGUAUGCAACCUACCUUAUACUGGGGUAUAGCCCGGAGAAAUUCGGAUUAAUCCCCCAUAGUACUAAUGAAUCGCAUGGUUUAUUAGUUAAAGCAUUGCGGUAUAAGAUGGUCAUGCGUCCUAUUAGCUAGAUGGUGAGGUAACGGCUCACCAUGGCUACGAUAGGUAGGGGGCCUGAGAGGGUGGUCCCCCACACUGGUACUGAGACACGGACCAGACUCCUACGGGAGGCAGCAGUGAGGAAUAUUGGUCAAUGGGCGCAAGCUUGAACCAACCAUGCCGCGUGCAGGAAGAAUGCCCUAUGGGUUGUAAACUGCUUUUAUUUGGGAAUAAACCUCUUUACGUGUAGAGAGCUGAAGGUACCAAAUGAAUAAGCACCGGCUAACUCCGUGCCAGCCGCCGCCGUAA